RNAcentral lists this ribosomal RNA (428 nucleotides) under uncultured bacterium. Its description in RNAcentral is "partial 16S ribosomal RNA". It matches the Rfam family "Bacterial small subunit ribosomal RNA", at positions 354 to 796 of the family's 1533-position model. The record is from RNAcentral.
GUGGGGAAUAUUGGGCAAUGGGCGCAAGCCUGACCCAGCAACGCCGCGUGAAGGAAGAAGGCUUUCGGGUUGUAAACUUCUUUUACCAGGGACGAAACAAAUGACGGUACCUGGUGAAUAAGCCACGGCUAACUACGUGCCAGCAGCCGCGGUAAUACGUAGGUGGCGAGCGUUAUCCGGAUUUAUUGGGUGUAAAGGGCGUGUAGGCGGGACAGCAAGUCAGAUGUGAAAACCAGAGGCUCAACCUCUGGCCUGCAUUUGAAACUGUUGUUCUUGAGUGUCGGAGAGGUAAUCGGAAUUCCGUGUGUAGCGGUGAAAUGCGUAGAUAUACGGAGGAACACCAGUGGCGAAGGCGGAUUACUGGACGAUAACUGACGCUGAGGCGCGAAAGCGUGGGGAGCAAACAGGAUUUGAAACCCUGGUAGUCC